This 253-nucleotide ribosomal RNA is filed under the name uncultured bacterium. Its description in RNAcentral is "partial 16S ribosomal RNA". It matches the Rfam family "Bacterial small subunit ribosomal RNA", at positions 524 to 776 of the family's 1533-position model. The record is from RNAcentral.
UACGGGGGGGGUAAGCGUUGUUCGGAAUUACUGGGCGUAAAGGGCUCGUAGGCGGCCAACUAAGUCGGACGUGAAAUCCCUCAGCUUAACUGGGGAACUGCGUCUGAUACUGGAUGGCUUGGAUUUGGGAGAGGGAUGCGGAAUUCCAGGUGUAGCGGUGAAAUGCGUAGAUAUCUGGAGGAACACCGGUGGCGAAGGCGGCAUCCUGGACUGCAACUGACACUGUAAAACGAAAGCCAGGGGAGCAAACGGG